UGGAUCCAGACUUUGAUCCUGGCUCAGGACGAACGCUGGCGGCACGCUUAACACAUGCAAGUCGAACGGAGAAUAUCGAAGCUUGCUUUGAUAUUCUUAGUGGCGGACGGGUGAGUAACACGUGAGUAACCUGCCUCUGAGAGUGGGAUAGCUUCUGGAAACGGAUGGUAAUACCGCAUGAAAUCAUAGUAUCGCAUGGUACAAUGGUCAAAGAUUUAUCGCUCAGAGAUGGACUCGCGUCUGAUUAGCUAGUUGGUAAGGUAACGGCUUACCAAGGCGACGAUCAGUAGCCGGACUGAGAGGUUGAUCGGCCACAUUGGGACUGAGACACGGCCCAGACUCCUACGGGAGGCAGCAGUGGGGAAUAUUGCACAAUGGGGGAAACCCUGAUGCAGCGAUGCCGCGUGGAGGAAGAAGGUUUUCGGAUUGUAAACUCCUGUUGAAGAGGACGAUAAUGACGGUACUCUUUUAGAAAGCUCCGGCUAACUACGUGCCAGCAGCCGCGGUAAUACGUAGGGAGCGAGCGUUGUCCGGAAUUACUGGGUGUAAAGGGAGCGUAGGCGGGACGGCAAGUCAGAUGUGAAAACUAUGGGCUCAACCCAUAGACUGCAUUUGAAACUGUUGUUCUUGAGUGAGGUAGAGGUAAGCGGAAUUCCUGGUGUAGCGGUGAAAUGCGUAGAGAUCAGGAGGAACAUCGGUGGCGAAGGCGGCUUACUGGGCCUUUACUGACGCUGAGGCUCGAAAGCGUGGGGAGCAAACAGGAUUAGAUACCCUGGUAGUCCACGCCGUAAACGAUGAUUACUAGGUGUGGGGGGACUGACCCCUUCCGUGCCGCAGUUAACACAAUAAGUAAUCCACCUGGGGAGUACGGCCGCAAGGUUGCAACUCAAAUGAAUUGACGGA
RNAcentral lists this ribosomal RNA (903 nucleotides) under uncultured organism. RNAcentral's name for it is "bacterial SSU rRNA". It matches the Rfam family "Bacterial small subunit ribosomal RNA", at positions 1 to 917 of the family's 1533-position model. The record is from RNAcentral.